This 464-nucleotide ribosomal RNA is filed under the name uncultured bacterium. RNAcentral's name for it is "partial 16S ribosomal RNA". It matches the Rfam family "Bacterial small subunit ribosomal RNA", at positions 29 to 507 of the family's 1533-position model. The record is from RNAcentral.
ACGCACGCUGGCGGCGUGCUUAACCCCUGCCGGUCGCACGGAAAGGCCCUGCUUGCAGGGUACUCGAGUGGCGAACGGGUGAGUAACACGUGGGUGAUCUGCCCUGCACUUCGGGAUAAGCCUGGGAAACUGGGUCUAAUACCGGAUAGGAGCCAUUUUUAGUGUGAUGGUUGGAAAGUUUUUUCGGUGUAGGAUGAGCUCGCGGCCUAUCAGCUUGUUGGUGGGGUAAUGGCCUACCAAGGCGGCGACGGGUAGCCGGCCUGAGAGGGUGGACGGCCACAUUGGGACUGAGAUACGGCCCAGACUCCUACGGGAGGCAGCAGUGGGGAAUAUUGCACAAUGGGCGCAAGCCUGAUGCAGCGACGCCGCGUGGGGGAUGACGGCCUUCGGGUUGUAAACUCCUUUCGCUAGGGACGAAGCUUUUUGUGACGGUACCUAGAUAAGAAGCACCGGCUAACUACGUG